UGGGGACUCAGAUGAGACUGCCGGUGACAAACCGGAGGAAGUGGGGAUGACGUCAAGUCAUCAUGGCCCUUACGGCCUGGGCUACACACGUGCUACAAUGGUCGGUACAAAGGGUUGCCAAGCCGCGAGGUGGAGCUAAUCCCAUAAAACCGAUCGUAGUCCGGAUCGCAGUCUGCAACUCGACUGCGUGAAGUCGGAAUCGCUAGUAAUCGUGAAUCAGAAUGUCACGGUGAAUACCGGUUCCCGGGUCCUU
Molecule: ribosomal RNA, 253 nt
Filed under: uncultured Pseudomonas sp.
Lineage: Bacteria; Pseudomonadati; Pseudomonadota; Gammaproteobacteria; Pseudomonadales; Pseudomonadaceae
Description: partial 16S ribosomal RNA
Rfam family: Bacterial small subunit ribosomal RNA
Source: RNAcentral